This 124-nucleotide ribosomal RNA is filed under the name Klebsiella quasipneumoniae. The record is from RNAcentral. Lineage: Bacteria; Pseudomonadati; Pseudomonadota; Gammaproteobacteria; Enterobacterales; Enterobacteriaceae.
AGAAUUUGCCUGGCGGCACUAGCGCGGUGGUCCCACCUGACCCCAUGCCGAACUCAGAAGUGAAACGCCGUAGCGCCGAUGGUAGUGUGGGGUCUCCCCAUGUGAGAGUAGGGAACUGCCAGGC